This is a long non-coding RNA of Gavialis gangeticus (Gharial), 175 nucleotides long. RefSeq lists it as uncharacterized. The record is from RefSeq and is a predicted model, not a curated record. Lineage: Eukaryota; Metazoa; Chordata; Crocodylia; Gavialidae. The transcript is spliced from 2 exons.
AGCUCUUCUCACACACAGAGCAACGAAAUGGCUUUUCUCCUGUGUGGAUGCGUUGGUGUUGGGCCAGCUUGGAGAAGUGGGUGAAACCCUUCCCACACACAGAGCACUGAUGUGGCUUCUCCCCUGUGUGGAUGAACCGGUGCCGGGCCAGGUGUGAGGAGUACGUGAAGCCUUU